This 573-nucleotide ribosomal RNA is filed under the name uncultured bacterium. RNAcentral's name for it is "bacterial SSU rRNA". It matches the Rfam family "Bacterial small subunit ribosomal RNA", at positions 338 to 915 of the family's 1533-position model. The record is from RNAcentral.
CCUACGGGAGGCAGCAGUGAGGAAUAUUGGACAAUGGGCGCAAGCCUGAUCCAGCCAUGCCGCGUGCAGGAAGACGGUCCUAUGGAUUGUAAACUGCUUUUGUACAGGAAGAAACACUCCCUCGUGAGGGAGCUUGACGGUACUGUAAGAAUAAGGAUCGGCUAACUCCGUGCCAGCAGCCGCGGUAAUACGGAGGAUCCAAGCGUUAUCCGGAAUCAUUGGGUUUAAAGGGUCCGUAGGCGGUUUAAUAAGUCAGUGGUGAAAUCUGGUCGCUCAACGAUCAAACGGCCAUUGAUACUGUUAGACUUGAAUUAUUAGGAAGUAACUAGAAUAUGUAGUGUAGCGGUGAAAUGCUUAGAUAUUACAUGGAAUACCAAUUGCGAAGGCAGGUUACUACUAAUGGAUUGACGCUGAUGGACGAAAGCGUGGGGAGCGAACAGGAUUAGAUACCCUGGUAGUCCACGCCGUAAACGAUGGAUACUAGCUGUUCGGAGCAAUCUGAGUGGCUAAGCGAAAGUGAUAAGUAUCCACCUGGGGAGUAACGUUGCAAGAUGAAACUUAAAGGAAUUGAGG